Cervus elaphus (red deer) is the source of this 2343-nucleotide long non-coding RNA. RefSeq lists it as uncharacterized. NCBI's taxonomy places the organism in Eukaryota, Metazoa, Chordata, Mammalia, Artiodactyla, Cervidae. The transcript has 7 exons. The record is from RefSeq and is a predicted model, not a curated record.
GAGCUCCCACGGCUGGGCCUUCCUCCUCUCCGAGGGCUGGCCCCCACUUCCAGGGCCUCCCUCAGAGGGGCCGUGGUCACCCAGUCAAGCCCAGCUCAGCCCUGUUCUUUGGGAGAUCCCAGGCUUCUCGGGAAAUGGUAUCCAAGCCCUAAAAAUCCCCAAGUGACCGAUUCUGAACAACACGUCUGGGGUGCACGGGCCGAUGCGACAUCUCACGGAUGAUGUCAUCUGGGACCUCGCUGUGACCAAAGGGCGCUCAUGACUCGGAGUGUCAGAGCCAUAUUCACUCAUCUCUGGUGAAACCUGUGUCCUUUCAAGCCCUGUCCCUUGGCAGCUGUUUCACAGCGAGACCGUGGAAGGUGGAAGUUAGAGGGACCCACGCUGGGGCCACGCUGCCAGAUUCCAAAUCCUGUCUGGAAUAGCCAGGUGACCUCAGCAUGUUACUCAACGUCUUCUUUUUAUUCUUCACUUAUAAAACGGGCACAAUACCGGACUUGCUUCAUAGAGCUGCUAAAAAAUUGAGAAGAAUUCAGCAAAGAGACCAAGAUGGUGAAAAGAUAAAGGUGUUUAUGAAAAGAAGCAGAAUACAUGUAAAAGAACACGCAGCUGAACUCAGAAUAAGAUCACAUUCUAGGACUCUGGGAAGAGCGUGAAUUUGGGGACAGGAUGCUCUACAACCCAGUACACUCUUCUUACCUAAAGAUGGGAAGAUUCCUAAGGCCAUCACAGAUCCAGGUGCUAACAAUUUCUGAUAAUCCCUAAGCGGAGCCACCCAGAUAACCUGCCCUUGCGUUUCUGAUGGACAGCCUGGAGCUGGAGACUUGGGAGUCAGCUUUGCCAGUAACUCCACUGUGACUUUGGCAAGCCAGUUAGUUAAACACCUUCCAUCCGGUGACUCACUCUGCUGCCCGCUCAAGAAUGAGCAGCAUCUGAAAGAAGCAGGCCAGUGUGCGAAGUGGAACCCAGGGCCCGGCAGGUGAUCUGUGUGCACGUUAAAGUGUGGAAGCGCUGGACUAAAGGAUAGUGAGUCUCCCAGAGUUCCAGGACAGCAUGAUGGCUCAUCUGCGAUGCAAACCCAGGCUCCAAGCCUCCCAGAGAAGUGCUUUUCUGACAGCGUUGCUACACUCUCUGCACUUUAGCUGAGCUAAAGUAGGCACAUACAUCCUCUUGGUCAGCUCCCAUCCCUUGAGUGAUGGGGGAGCAAAGGAAACAAACCGCUGUGCCAAAGGAGGAAUUUGUGUUGAUCCUGAGAACAAAGACAAAGAUGGGGACAGAAAUUAGGAGGAGAAAAGAGGAGGAGAGUGGCAGAGCCUUGGAGGAAGAGGUACAGUAAUGUUUGUAAAUUCUUGGUGGGAAUGGAUUGCUUUGGGGGGAUUGUUUUGUUUUUGGUAGACAGUGUGAAUGGGCUGUGUUUUACACAAAGUGGAGUCUUGUAAUGACACCGUGAAGUUGGGAACUGGCUGGUGCCAGAGUGUCGUGAGGUCUCAGCGGGCCCUGGAACUGCAUAGUGACUGUCUGGACCAGCUUAUUUCCUAUUCUUGGAAUCCUUAGGACCUCGCAUAAUAUAGCCAAAAUGUUUCUUGUAUGAAUGAAUGAGAGCAUGAAGAAAUCCGUAAGUAUUAUCCUAUCCAACUCCCUCAUUUUUUCCCUGUUUGUUGUAGAUUGGCUUUAAAAAAAUUUAUCAUAAGAUACAUUAAAUAUUAUAACAUGAAAAUACAGAUAUGCAAUUAAAAAAAUAAUAAAAUGAAUACCAAUAUAGUCACCAUCCAGGUGGAGAAACAGAACAUCAAAGGUUUUAUACUUAUUUUUUACUUUUUUUUGGCUGUGCCUCCAGCAUGCACAAUCUUAGUUCCCUGACCAGGGAUAGAACCCAGGCCCCUUGCAGUGGAAACGUGGAGUCUGAACCACUGAACCACCAGGAAAGUCUGUACAUCUUUAAACAAUCUGGAAAUGUUUUCUUUUGUAAGGUUUGAGGUAGGAGGCUAAGUAAUUUUUUCAUAUAGAUAAUCAAUUUUGACUCAAGAUUUGUUGAAAAAGUGUUCCUUUUCUUACUAAGCUGCAGUGCCAACUUGUUCUUAAAAAAAUUCUGUCUAUGAAUAGGUUUGCUUCUGGGUUCUGUCUUUGGUUCUUUCAUCUACCUAUUAUUUUGAGUGUAAAGCUAUGUGAUCUAAUUACCAAAGCUUUAUAAUAGUUACUCAUAUCUGACAUGAUGAUACCCCAUAUUCUUCUUCUUUAGCAGUGUCUUGGCUGUUUAUAGGCAUUUGUAUUUCUAAAUAAAUUUUAGAACUAGUUUGUUGAUCACAAAAAAGUAUUGUGAGAAUUUUUUUAUAGUUAUAUGGAACC